This 860-nucleotide ribosomal RNA is filed under the name uncultured euryarchaeote. RNAcentral's name for it is "bacterial SSU rRNA". It matches the Rfam family "Archaeal small subunit ribosomal RNA", at positions 1 to 879 of the family's 1478-position model. Lineage: Archaea; Methanobacteriati; Methanobacteriota. The record is from RNAcentral.
UUCCGGUUGAUCCCGCCGGAGGCGACCGCUUUUGGAGUUCGAUUAAGCCAUGCGAGUCGAGAGCUUUCAGAGCUCGGCAUGCUGCUCAGUAACACGUGGAUAACCUGCCCUAUUGUCUGGGAUAACCUCGGGAAACUGAGAACAAUGCCGGAUAGCCCACAAUGCCUGGAACGGUUUGUGGGUGAAGAUAGGAUGGGUCUGCGGCGUAUCAGGUCGUAGGGGGUGUAAUGGACCUCCUAGCCAUCGACGCGUACGGGUGUUGGGAGACAUAGCCCGGAGAUGGAUUCUGAGACACGAAUCUAGACCCUAUGGGGUGCAGCAGGCGCGAAAACUUCACACUGCAGGAAACUGUGAUGAGGGAACUCCAAGUGCUAUCACCAUGUGGUAGCUUUUCUUAACUAUUAAUCGGUUUUGGAAUAAGGGCUGGGAAAGACCGGUGCCAGCCGCCGCGGUAAUACCGGCAGCUCAAGUGGUCGUCGCUUUUAUUGGGCCUAAAACGUCCGUAGCCUGUUUGGUAAAUCUGUGGGUAAAUCAACCAGCUUAACUGGUUGAAUUCUGCAGAGACUGCCAGACUAGGGACCGGGAGAGGUGUGGGGUACUCUAGGGGUAGGGGUAAAAUCCUGUCAUCCUUAGAGGACCACCAGUUGCGAAGGCGCCACACUGGAACGGAUCCGACGGUCAGGGACGAAGCCUAGGGGCACGAACCGGAUUAGAUACCCGGGUAGUCCUAGGUGUAAACGCUGUGAACUUGGUGUCGGGGAUCCGUAAUGGGUUCUCGGUGCCGGAGUGAAGAUGUUAAGUUCACUGCCUGGGGAGUACGGUCGCAAGGUUGAAACUUAAAGGAAUUGGCGGGGCAGCAC